UACGUAGGGUGCAAGCGUUAAUCGGAAUUACUGGGCGUAAAGCGUGCGCAGGCGGUCCGUUAAGACAGAUGUGAAAUCCCCGGGCUUAACCUGGGAACUGCAUUUGUGACUGGCGGACUCGAGUAUGGCAGAGGGGGGGUAGAAUUCCACGUGUAGCAGUGAAAUGCGUAGAGAUGUGGAGGAAUACCGAUGGCGAAGGCAGCCUCCUGGGCCAACACUGAA
Molecule: ribosomal RNA, 222 nt
Filed under: uncultured bacterium
Lineage: Bacteria
Description: partial 16S ribosomal RNA
Rfam family: Bacterial small subunit ribosomal RNA
Source: RNAcentral